AAGCGCGAGAAGGUUUACCGCGACGAAUAACGCAACCCGCGUCGCAAACUGUUCAUCGAUUUAGCCCGGUGGUCGAAAGAUCAUCGGGCUUUUUCGUUCCGUUUCGGAACAGGUAACAACAAAGGGAGGAUAAUCGUGAAGAUACUUUUGAUCGCACUGGCGCUGGCGACAGCAUCGUUCGCUUUCAUCGGUCAGGCCGAUGCGCGUGGU
RNAcentral lists this unclassified non-coding RNA (210 nucleotides) under Hevea brasiliensis (rubber tree). The record is from RNAcentral. Lineage: Eukaryota; Viridiplantae; Streptophyta; Magnoliopsida; Malpighiales; Euphorbiaceae.